GAUGAACGCUGGCGGCGUGCUUAACACAUGCAAGUCGAACGAAGCACUUUACUUGAUUUCCUUCGGGGAUGAUUGUUCUGUGACUGAGUGGCGGACGGGUGAGUAACGCGUGGAUAACCUGCCUCACACAGGGGGAUAACAGUUGGAAACGACUGCUAAUACCGCAUAAGCGCACAGCACCGCAUGGUGCAGUGUGAAAAACUCCGGUGGUGUGAGAUGGAUCCGCGUCUGAUUAGCUAGUUGGCGGGGUAACGGCCCACCAAGGCGACGAUCAGUAGCCGGCCUGAGAGGGCGACCGGCCACAUUGGGACUGAGACACGGCCCAGACUCCUACGGGAGGCAGCAGUGGGGAAUAUUGCACAAUGGGGGAAACCCUGAUGCAGCGACGCCGCGUGAGCGAUGAAGUAUUUCGGUAUGUAAAGCUCUAUCAGCAGGGAAGAUAAUGGCGGUAC
This 452-nucleotide ribosomal RNA is filed under the name uncultured bacterium. RNAcentral describes it as "bacterial SSU rRNA". It matches the Rfam family "Bacterial small subunit ribosomal RNA", at positions 28 to 460 of the family's 1533-position model. The record is from RNAcentral.